This 515-nucleotide ribosomal RNA is filed under the name uncultured bacterium. Its description in RNAcentral is "partial 16S ribosomal RNA". It matches the Rfam family "Bacterial small subunit ribosomal RNA", at positions 28 to 523 of the family's 1533-position model. The record is from RNAcentral.
GAUGAACGCUGGCGGCGUGCCUAAUACAUGCAAGUCGAGCGAAUGGAUUAAGAGCUUGCUCUUAUGAAGUUAGCGGCGGACGGGUGAGUAACACGUGGGUAGCCUGCCCAUAAGACUGGGAUAACUCCGGGAAACCGGGGCUAAUACCGGAUAACAUUUUGAACCGCAUGGUUCGAAAUUGAAAGGCGGCUUCGGCUGUCACUUAUGGAUGGACCCGCGUCGCAUUAGCUAGUUGGUGAGGUAACGGCUCACCAAGGCAACGAUGCGUAGCCGACCGGGGAGGGUGAUCGGCCACACUGGGACUGAGACACGGCCCAGACUCCUACGGGAGGCAGCAGUAGGGAAUCUUCCGCAAUGGACGAAAGUCUAACGGAGCAACGCCGCGUGAGUGAUGAAGGCUUUCGGGUCGUAAAACUCUGUUGUUAGGGAAGAACAAGUGCUAGUUGAAUAAGCUGGCACCUUGACGGUACCUAACCAGAAAGCCACGGCUAACUACGUGCCAGCCGCCGCAGUAA